This 2489-nucleotide unclassified non-coding RNA is filed under the name Hevea brasiliensis (rubber tree). Lineage: Eukaryota; Viridiplantae; Streptophyta; Magnoliopsida; Malpighiales; Euphorbiaceae. The record is from RNAcentral.
CCAAUGUUCUUCCUCCCCCAUUAUUUUUGAGAUCCUGUCACAAAAUGCAGUAAACGCCUUGCUAUCCUCUAUGCUUUUCUUUUCCUUCCUCGGUGGUUUCAUCAUCUUCCAUUGCACUGCCUAGCUUGACAAUAUCUUCAACAAGGAUUUUUCCUUCUCUAUCUUUGGAGAGGUUACUUAUAAGUUCUUGGAUACCCUGCUUGCCCAAGUGGUCUUUGAGGUACAUAGCAGCAGAUGCAACCUCCUCAGGAGUCACUUUCCCAUCAUAAUCCCUAUCAAGCAAGCGCCAUCGAUCUCCAAUUUUGGCAUCCACAUCAUCAAUUUCUUUUUCAAGCUUUUGAAGCAUAGCAUCUACUCUAUCAAUCAGUGCUGAAGAAACCUUGUCAGCUAUGGCUGUCUCCGCAGCAUGGUCACUCUCCUCUCUGGCAGCUCUAUAUGCCUUUUUAGCUUCUUCCUCAUCUUCUGUCCCUUCUUUGUCCACCAUACUAUUAUAAAGCACUAUCUCCUUCUUAACAAGUUUCAAGAAUUCCUCACGCUCUCUGCUGACAGAAGAUGCAGAAGCUAAAACAGCUAAGGCACGACUGAGCUCACAAAGCUGCUCAUGUUUUUCCAAUGUUUUUGCUCUUGCUUGUUCUUGAGCUUCUCUAGCUGUUGGAAUAGUCAUCUCUUCCAAAGCCACGUCCUUCUGGCUACCAACAGAUUCCUUCAUCUUGGCCUGCUCCUCUUCUUCUUCCUCUUCUUCCUCCUUGAUCAGCUCUUCCUGCAUUUCUAGGAACUCCAACUUUCUUCUCCUUUCUGAGACUGAAUCUUCAGAUGGCAAAGCUGUAACUCCAACAGUGUCCACGACUUCAUCUGGAAGAGAUGAAAGUGUAGCCUGAACAGCUUCUUCUGGCUUAACUUUUCCAGAAAUAGAGAAGGCUCUAGACAAAAUCAACAGAGAAGAUGGAACAGAAUGAUUCAGAGACAAAUCCAGCCAAUCACGCAGCUGUUGCCGCAUUUCUUCAACUGAAAGCAAUCCAAGUAACCCUCGAUCUCUACAAGCGUGACGAAGCUCAGGUUCUGAAAGGGACUCCACGCCCUCAGCUUGAAUCAUCUUAUCAUCAUUCUUAAUCUCUUGCAGUCUCCUCCGAAGCAUAAAACGUAGAUAUGCAUCUGUUCCAUAAGGGCUGAUACCCAUAUACUUGCACAUGUUUACUAGUCGAGGCCUGCUGACGUUAUCCAAGGUAAGCUCAUCAUUAAAUAACUUGGCAAAGCCUAAAAUUUCUUCAUUGGAAACACGUGCACCUGUUCUAACCUUGUUCAUAAAUUCGUCAAGAUCUUCAGCAGUUUUCUUAGUUUCUCCACUUCUUGAGUUCUGGACUUCUUUUGCCAUUUCUUUAACAGUGUCUUGAAGAAACUUGGCAUAUUCUAUUCUAGCAUUCAACUUCCUUUUCAGUGCCUCCUGUUCUUUCAUCUUGUCCUGGAAGGUUGACGGCAACAUGUUGGGAAACAAUUUUAGGAAUACUGGUAGCAAGAAUUCCAUGAAUGGAACUAUAAUAAAAACUGCAAAAGGAACUAGCCUAAAUAUAUCAGCUGUAGUGCGUGUAAGCUGUUGCCUUUCCCUUCUAGAAAGACCCUUCCCACUGGCAAGUUUCACCAGUAACCUCGAGCUUAUCCUAACAUCAGCCCACAGUAGCUUUGUACCCAACCAAUAGUGUUGCAUCGUGGACUUAAACUCAUCCCUCCAAUGGCGAAACUUCUUAGCCCAGUCAUCCCUGCUCAUUGAAGCAACAGCUUUCAAUGCGGGACCAAUGCCCAAAAGCAUAGCCCAUAUUCUUUGCAUUAUUGAUUUAGAAAUCUUUUGUGAUUCUUGCACCUGCUUAGCUUUUGCCUUGGCCUUCACCUCACUUAAAUCUUCAACAGCUUCAUCACACUCCUCUGGUGAAGCUUCCUUCACCUGCUUGGCAACUUGUUGUUCAUUUCUGUCAUUACCACCGCCAAAUUUAGGUUGACCAGCUGUGGCAGUUGAAGAAAAACGAACAGACUGUGAAAACCACCUAAUUCCUAAAGAAGAAUCAAAAUCUGCCUUUCCAAUCCUGUAACCCAAAUUUGAAGAUCCAAUAAAAUUAUGCCUAAGAUAAGCUGCUGCUAAAUGAGUUAAAGUUUCAUCCCUAAGAACUGAAUAUAAAUCCCCUUCAUAUCUACUAUAAUUCUUUUCAGACGGGUGACUAACAAUCCAUCUUGAUCUUUCCAAGCCACUUGAUUGGGGAGGCUGCCCAUGCUCAAAACUUGAAAAGCUCCUAACCAAGCAAACUGGUUGAUUCAGGGAACUGAAGAGGGAUCUCUUCCUCCCCAAGAUUGCUCUUGAUGCCAUUAUUAUAAAUUUCAGUCUCUAAAAAGAGGAGAAUAGUGACAUAUCUGAUGCACACUGAGCCAGCCUCCGCUGAAAGCUCCAAUCUACAAAGAGAGAGAGAGAGAAAGAAGUGAUUUGUUUGCUCGAGGUUAUGGCG